AAUUACCCAAUGUGGACUCCACGAGGUAGUGACGAGAAAUAUCAAUGCGGGGCGCUUCGCGUCUUGCUAUUGGAAUGAGAGCAAUGUAAAACCCUCAUCGAGGAUCAACUGGAGGGCAAGUCUGGUGCCAGCAGCCGCGGUAAUUCCAGCUCCAGAAGCGUAUGCUAAAGUUGUUGCAGUUAAAAAGCUCGUAGUUGAAUUUCUGGUGUGGGAGCCCAGGCCUCGGUGCGAAUGCGCCUUGUUUUGCCUUGCGGCUCCUUUGCCAUCCUCGUUUUUCGUAAGAAAGGCGUCAUUCACUGUAAUCAAAGCAGAGUGUUCCAAGCAGGCCGUAGGGCCGGUAUGUUUAUUAUGGGAUGAUCAGAUAGGACUCGGGUGCUAUUUUGUUGGUUUGCACAUCUGAGUAAUGAUUAAUAGGAACAGUCGGGGGUAUCCGUAUUUAGGAGCUAGAGGUGAAAUUCUUGGAUUUCCGAAAGACGAACUACAGCGAAGGCAUUUACCAAGCAUGUUUUCAUUAAUCAAGAACGAAAGUCUGGGGAUCG
This 539-nucleotide ribosomal RNA is filed under the name Thraustochytrium sp. RNAcentral's name for it is "bacterial SSU rRNA". It matches the Rfam family "Eukaryotic small subunit ribosomal RNA", at positions 439 to 1000 of the family's 1831-position model. Lineage: Eukaryota; Bigyra; Thraustochytrida; Thraustochytriidae. The record is from RNAcentral.